UCAGCCUGAGGCCGUUGGUGACCUUCCUGCUCCCAUCAGGCCAGAGCCACCGACCUGAGGGUGAGGGCGCUGCUGAGCCCAGGGGUUGAGAGCGCCCGUUACUGCUGUGGUCCCGGAGCUCCACCUGAGACCUGAGGGAAGCCGUCUGCCUAUGCCUCACACAUGACCUGCAAUCAAGACUGAAAGAAGACAUAAUUUAAGGAACUUUCCAACCUGGAUGGAUGGACCUUUCUAUCAGAGAGAGUGAUUGGUAUGGAACUCAGUGGAUUUGUGGCACUAAUUUAUGGCCUUCACAUCUACAGAGAUGGAUACAAAGGUGUAGCCUGGGAUUCCCAUGAAUUUUAGGUCAUACAUGUUAACGAAAUAGAGGUAACCCUAACCAAUCUACCACUGGUAUGAUCCCAAUGGGUCAAAGAUCUGUAUUGUCCUGGUAUGACCAUUUAGCAGCUUGUGUAUAUGUGUUUGUGUGUGUGCACGCCUUCAGUGGGGUUGGAGGAUAUCAUUGACCAUAUCUAAGCCUUAACAUCUUUCAUAAGCUUUAAGUGAGAGUAACCAGGCUAUUAGCCUAUUGAAUUCUGAGAUCUCUAUGAUGAGAGAGGCAAUGCUACAGUACAACUGCAAGGCCCUUGACACCUUAAAGCAUCUCAGGGAGAUAUCUGUGCUGUAAUGCAAACUGAAUGCUAUAUUUUCAUACCUGGUAAAUCCUUUAAUGUAACACAUUUGAACCACAUGAAAAAUCAUAUUUCUGCUUUAAGUGGCCCAUUCCCUAAUCUUCACGACCUUUUAAGAAAACUGGUGUGGGAGGCUCAUGGAUAAAGUAUUUACUUUUAAUUCCAUUAGUGUUAUUAACUAUACCACUUGUAAUUUGCUUGUUUCACAAGAUUAUCAUUUCAUGUAUUACCAACUGUAUGAACCUCCAACGAAAAUGAUGACUAGACUUGAAGCAGUUGAUCAAAUGUAUAGCUCGAUAUAUGAUCAAUGAUUGUAAUAGUGUAACUCUAGGUUUGAAAAGAUGCAAUGAGAGGGAAUACUUUCCUGGACCAUAGCUAGAAGACAGGUGUCCAGAGAUCUUUGACUAUUAAGACCUAGUCCAGUAAUAGCACAUUGAGUGUCUUAUCAACAAAAACCUUCUUCAUAACUGGGAACGAGCCUUCCCAGCAACGCGGAACAAAAUGGUCAUGAGAUGCCUGCCAAAGUAUGGUCGGAUUUAUGACCACUAGGGGGCCAUGUCAACUACAAGUUGGCAUGUACCAAGAGCAUUGCCAAUGACUGAACAACAAAGGCGUCUACAGAGAUUGAGCCCCAUGCUGCUAUAGCUGGUGACCUUCAACAACCCCUGAGAGAGUUCAGGCUGGAGUGAGGCACUCUCUGCUCCAGGGAAUCUGGUGGGACAGGUCUUUAGAUAGUUGGAUGUUUUUAGGGACAGAUUUUAUGAUCUCAAUCCUUGCAUCUCCUCAUAUCUAGAGAAACACUAAAGCCCUUCCUGGUGAUAUCAGAUCCUCAUGACAAACAAAAAGCCUUUUGUAAAAUGAGUGCUUCAUGGUAUUGAACUCUCCCUUCCCCAAAACCUUAUAUAUUGUCCUUCCCCC
This is a non-coding RNA of Odocoileus virginianus texanus, 1589 nucleotides long. The record is from RefSeq and is a predicted model, not a curated record. Lineage: Eukaryota; Metazoa; Chordata; Mammalia; Artiodactyla; Cervidae.